This 482-nucleotide ribosomal RNA is filed under the name uncultured bacterium. Its description in RNAcentral is "partial 16S ribosomal RNA". It matches the Rfam family "Bacterial small subunit ribosomal RNA", at positions 30 to 507 of the family's 1533-position model. The record is from RNAcentral.
AUUGAACGCUGGCGGCAUGCCUUACACAUGCAAGUCGAACGGUAACAGGUCUUCUGAUGCUGACGAGUGGCGAACGGGUGAGUAAUACAUCGGAACGUGCCCGAUCGUGGGGGAUAACGGAGCGAAAGCUUUGCUAAUACCGCAUACGAUCUACGGAUGAAAGCCGGGGACCGCAAGGCCUUGCGCGGACGGAGCGGCCGAUGGCAGAUUAGGUAGUUGGUGGGAUAAAAGCUUACCAAGCCGACGAUCUGUAGCUGGUCUGAGAGGACGACCAGCCACACUGGGACUGAGACACGGCCCAGACUCCUACGGGAGGCAGCAGUGGGGAAUUUUGGACAAUGGGCGAAAGCCUGAUCCAGCCAUGCCGCGUGCAGGAUGAAGGCCUUCGGGUUGUAAACUGCUUUUGUACGGAACGAAAAGACUCUUUCUAAUAAAGAGGGUCCAUGACGGUACCGGAAGAAUAAGCACCGGCUAACUACGUG